RNAcentral lists this ribosomal RNA (440 nucleotides) under uncultured bacterium. Its description in RNAcentral is "partial 16S ribosomal RNA". It matches the Rfam family "Bacterial small subunit ribosomal RNA", at positions 338 to 795 of the family's 1533-position model. The record is from RNAcentral.
CCUACGGGAGGCAGCAGUGGGGAAUAUUGCACAAUGGGGGAAACCCUGAUGCAGCGACGCCGCGUGAGUGAAGAAGUAUUUCGGUAUGUAACGCUCUAUCAGCAUGGAAGAGAAUGACGGUACCUGAGUAAGAAGCCCCGGCUAACUACGUGCCAGCAGCCGCGGUAAUACGUAGGGGGCAAGCGUUAUCCGGAUUUACUGGGUGUAAAGGGAGCGUAGACGGCGAAGAAAGUCUGAAGUGAAAGCCCGCAGCUCAAUCGCGGAACUGCUGUGGAAACUUUUUUGCUGGAGUACCGGAGAGGUAAGCGGAAUGCCUAGUGUAGCGGUGAAAUGCGUAGAUAUUAGGAGGAACACCAGUGGCGAAGGCGGCUUACUGGACGGUAACUGACGUUGAGGCUCGAAAGCGUGGGGAGCAAACAGGAUUAGAUACCCUGGUAGUC